RNAcentral lists this ribosomal RNA (392 nucleotides) under uncultured bacterium. RNAcentral's name for it is "partial 16S ribosomal RNA". It matches the Rfam family "Bacterial small subunit ribosomal RNA", at positions 523 to 918 of the family's 1533-position model. The record is from RNAcentral.
AUACGGAGGAUCCGAGCGUUAUCCGGAUUUAUUGGGUUUAAAGGGUGCGCAGGCGGCCAUUUAAGUCAGCGGUUAAAUCGUGGGGCUCAACCCCAUUCUGCCGUUGAUACUGGGUGGCUUGAUUGCGGUCGAGGUUGGCGGAAUUCGUUGUGUAGCGGUGAAAUGCAUAGAUAUGACGAAGAACACCGAUUGCGUAGGCAGCUGACCAGACCGCAAAUGACGCUCAUGCACGAAAGGGCGGGGAUCGAACAGGAUUAGAUACCCUGGUAGUCCGCACAGUAAACGAUGAAUACUUGUUGUCGGCGAUAUAAUGUCGGAGGCAAAGCGAAAGCGAUAAGUAUUCCACCUGGGGAGUACGCCCGCAACGGUGAAACUCAAAGGAAUUGACGGGG